Molecule: ribosomal RNA, 468 nt
Filed under: Klebsiella pneumoniae
Lineage: Bacteria; Pseudomonadati; Pseudomonadota; Gammaproteobacteria; Enterobacterales; Enterobacteriaceae
Description: bacterial SSU rRNA
Rfam family: Bacterial small subunit ribosomal RNA
Source: RNAcentral
AGGCUAGAGUCUUGUAGAGGGGGGUAGAAUUCCAGGUGUAGCGGUGAAAUGCGUAGAGAUCUGGAGGAAUACCGGUGGCGAAGGCGGCCCCCUGGACAAAGACUGACGCUCAGGUGCGAAAGCGUGGGGAGCAAACAGGAUUAGAUACCCUGGUAGUCCACGCCGUAAACGAUGUCGAUUUGGAGGUUGUGCCCUUGAGGCGUGGCUUCCGGAGCUAACGCGUUAAAUCGACCGCCUGGGGAGUACGGCCGCAAGGUUAAAACUCAAAUGAAUUGACGGGGGCCCGCACAAGCGGUGGAGCAUGUGGUUUAAUUCGAUGCAACGCGAAGAACCUUACCUGGUCUUGACAUCCACAGAACUUUCCAGAGAUGGAUUGGUGCCUUCGGGAACUGUGAGACAGGUGCUGCAUGGCUGUCGUCAGCUCGUGUUGUGAAAUGUUGGGUUAAGUCCCGCAACGAGCGCAACCCU